CACAUGACUCUCGGCAACGGAUAUCUCGGCUCUUGCAUCGAUGAAGAACGUAGCAAAAUGCGAUACCUGGUGUGAAUUGCAGAAUCCCGUGAACCAUCAAGUUUUUGAACGCAAGUUGCGCCUAAGGCCUUUUGGCCAAGGGCACGUCUGCCUGGGCGUCACG
Molecule: ribosomal RNA, 163 nt
Filed under: Chloris virgata (feather finger grass)
Lineage: Eukaryota; Viridiplantae; Streptophyta; Magnoliopsida; Poales; Poaceae
Description: 5.8S ribosomal RNA
Rfam family: 5.8S ribosomal RNA
About the family: 5.8S ribosomal RNA (5.8S rRNA) is a component of the large subunit of the eukaryotic ribosome. It is transcribed by RNA polymerase I as part of the 45S precursor that also contains 18S and 28S rRNA.
Source: RNAcentral